RNAcentral lists this ribosomal RNA (840 nucleotides) under uncultured Staphylococcus sp. RNAcentral's name for it is "bacterial SSU rRNA". It matches the Rfam family "Bacterial small subunit ribosomal RNA", at positions 69 to 894 of the family's 1533-position model. Lineage: Bacteria; Bacillati; Bacillota; Bacilli; Caryophanales; Staphylococcaceae. The record is from RNAcentral.
AGAUAAGGAGCUUGCUCCUUUGACGUUAGCGGCGGACGGGUGAGUAACACGUGGGUAACCUACCUAUAAGACUGGGACAACUUCGGGAAACCGGAGCUAAUACCGGAUAAUAUGUUGAACCGCAUGGUUCAAUAGUGAAAGAUGGUUUUGCUAUCACUUAUAGAUGGACCCGCGCCGUAUUAGCUAGUUGGUGAGGUAACGGCUCACCAAGGCAACGAUACGUAGCCGACCUGAGAGGGUGAUCGGCCACACUGGAACUGAGACACGGUCCAGACUCCUACGGGAGGCAGCAGUAGGGAAUCUUCCGCAAUGGGCGAAAGCCUGACGGAGCAACGCCGCGUGAGUGAUGAAGGUCUUAGGAUCGUAAAACUCUGUUAUUAGGGAAGAACAAACGUGUAAGUAACUGUGCACGUCUUGACGGUACCUAAUCAGAAAGCCACGGCUAACUACGUGCCAGCAGCCGCGGUAAUACGUAGGUGGCAAGCGUUAUCCGGAAUUAUUGGGCGUAAAGCGCGCGUAGGCGGUUUUUUAAGUCUGAUGUGAAAGCCCACGGCUCAACCGUGGAGGGUCAUUGGAAACUGGAAAACUUGAGUGCAGAAGAGGAAAGUGGAAUUCCAUGUGUAGCGGUGAAAUGCGCAGAGAUAUGGAGGAACACCAGUGGCGAAGGCGACUUUCUGGUCUGUAACUGACGCUGAUGUGCGAAAGCGUGGGGAUCAAACAGGAUUAGAUACCCUGGUAGUCCACGCCGUAAACGAUGAGUGCUAAGUGUUAGGGGGUUUCCGCCCCUUAGUGCUGCAGCUAACGCAUUAAGCACUCCGCCUGGGGAGUACGACCCAAGUG